AUUGAACGCUGGCGGCAUGCUUUACACAUGCAAGUCGAACGGUAACAGGCCGCAAGGUGCUGACGAGUGGCGAACGGGUGAGUAAUGCAUCGGAACGUGCCCAGUCGUGGGGGAUAACGCAGCGAAAGCUGCGCUAAUACCGCAUACGAUCUAUGGAUGAAAGCGGGGGACCGUAAGGCCUCGCGCGAUUGGAGCGGCCGAUGUCAGAUUAGGUAGUUGGUGAGGUAAAGGCUCACCAAGCCAACGAUCUGUAGCUGGUCUGAGAGGACGACCAGCCACACUGGGACUGAGACACGGCCCAGACUCCUACGGGAGGCAGCAGUGGGGAAUUUUGGACAAUGGGCGCAAGCCUGAUCCAGCAAUGCCGCGUGCAGGAAGAAGGCCUUCGGGUUGAAAACUGCUUUUGUACGGAACGAAACGGUCCGGGCUAAUACCCUGGGCUAAUGACGGUACCGUAAGAAUAAGCACCGGCUAACUACGUGCCAGCAGCCGCGGUAA
This 498-nucleotide ribosomal RNA is filed under the name uncultured bacterium. RNAcentral's name for it is "partial 16S ribosomal RNA". It matches the Rfam family "Bacterial small subunit ribosomal RNA", at positions 29 to 523 of the family's 1533-position model. The record is from RNAcentral.